CUUUUAAGUACUAAUCAACAAACGUCAAUAUUUUAGACGAGUCUCCUAAUUUUUAGGGACUGAUGUCAUUUUUAACGUGUCUCCUAUUUUUAGGGACC
Populus trichocarpa (black cottonwood) is the source of this 98-nucleotide non-coding RNA. Lineage: Eukaryota; Viridiplantae; Streptophyta; Magnoliopsida; Malpighiales; Salicaceae. The record is from Rfam.